CCUACGGGAGGCAGCAGUGGGGAAUAUUGGGCAAUGGGCGCAAGCCUGACCCAGCAACGCCGCGUGAAGGAAGAAGGCUUUCGGGUUUUAAACUUCUUUUGUCAGGGAAGAGUAGAAGACGGUACCUGACGAAUAAGCCACGGCUAACUACGUGCCAGCAGCUGCGGUCAUGCGUAGGUGGAAAGCGUUGUCCGGAUUGACUGGGUGUAAAGGGCGUGUAGCCGGGUUGACAAGUCAGGGGUGAAAUCCUGCGGCUUAACCGCAGAACUGCAGUUGAAACUGUUGAUCUUGAGUACUGGAGAGGCAGAUGGAAUUCAUAGUGUAGCGGUGAAAUGCGUAGAUAUUAGGAGGAACAACAGUGGCGAAGGCGGCCUGCUGGACAGCAACUGACGGUGAGGCGCGAAAGCGUGGGGAGCAAACAGGAUUAGAUACCCUAGUAGUC
RNAcentral lists this ribosomal RNA (442 nucleotides) under uncultured bacterium. RNAcentral's name for it is "partial 16S ribosomal RNA". It matches the Rfam family "Bacterial small subunit ribosomal RNA", at positions 338 to 795 of the family's 1533-position model. The record is from RNAcentral.